GUUCAUUGAAAACUAUCCCUGGCAUUGGCCUUGAUGGUUAUGUGGGGGUUAAGAGCUGCUGCUCAGAACCACUAGGGGUCUCAGAUCGCCACCUGCUACUCCAGUGUGGGAGGGUGAAACCUGGCCCUGACAGCC
Peromyscus maniculatus bairdii (prairie deer mouse) is the source of this 135-nucleotide small nucleolar RNA. Ensembl annotates it as predicted gene, 22156. Lineage: Eukaryota; Metazoa; Chordata; Mammalia; Rodentia; Cricetidae. The record is from Ensembl.